Molecule: ribosomal RNA, 505 nt
Filed under: uncultured bacterium
Lineage: Bacteria
Description: partial 16S ribosomal RNA
Rfam family: Bacterial small subunit ribosomal RNA
Source: RNAcentral
GACGAACGCUGGCGGCGUGCCUAAUACAUGCAAGUAGGACGCACAGUCUAUACCGUAGCUUGCUACACCAUAGGCUGUGAGUUGCGAACGGGUGAGUAACGCGUAGGUAACCUGCCUAUUAGAGGGGGAUAACUAUUGGAAACGAUAGCUAAUACCGCAUAACAGUAUGUAACACAUGUUAGAUGCUUGAAAGGUGCAAUUGCAUCGCUAGUAGAUGGACCUGCGUUGUAUUAGCUAGUAGGUAGGGUAAUGGCCUACCUAGGCGACGAUACAUAGCCGACCUGAGAGGGUGAUCGGCCACACUGGGACUGAGACACGGCCCAGACUCCUACGGGAGGCAGCAGUAGGGAAUCUUCGGCAAUGGGGGGAACCCUGACCGAGCAACGCCGCGUGAGUGAAGAAGGUUUUCGGAUCGUAAAGCUCUGUUGUUAAGGAAGAACGAGUGUGAGAAUGGAAAGUUCAUACUGUGACGGUACUUAACCAGAAAGGGACGGCUAACUACGUG